UACGUAGGGGGCAAGCGUUGUCCGGAAUAAUUGGGCGUAAAGGGCGCGUAGGAGGCAAGGCAAGUCAGCAGUGGUAGUCCCAUUUUCAAGGUGGGGAGGGCUGUUGAAACUGCGUUGCUUGAGUGCAGGAGAGGUUAUCGGAAUUCCCGGUGUAGCGGUGAAAUGCGUAGAGAUCGGGAGGAACACCAGUGGCGAAGGCGGGUAACUGGACUGCAACUGACGCUGAGGCGCGAAAGUGUGGGGAGCAAACAGGAUUAGAUACCCUGGUAGUCCCU
This 275-nucleotide ribosomal RNA is filed under the name uncultured prokaryote. Its description in RNAcentral is "partial 16S ribosomal RNA". It matches the Rfam family "Bacterial small subunit ribosomal RNA", at positions 524 to 798 of the family's 1533-position model. The record is from RNAcentral.